Molecule: transfer RNA, 96 nt
Filed under: Trichosporon asahii var. asahii CBS 8904
Lineage: Eukaryota; Fungi; Basidiomycota; Tremellomycetes; Trichosporonales; Trichosporonaceae
Rfam family: tRNA
About the family: Transfer RNA (tRNA) molecules are approximately 80 nucleotides in length. Their secondary structure includes four short double-helical elements and three loops (D, anti-codon, and T loops).
Source: Rfam by way of RNAcentral
GGCAAGAUGGCCGAGCGGUCUAAGGCGCUGUGUUCAGGUUGUUGCUCUCAAUAGCUUCGCAGUCUUCGGGCGUGGGUUCGAAUCCCACUCUUGUCA